GAUGAACGCUAGCUACAGGCUUAACACAUGCAAGUCGCGGGGCAGCAUGGGGGUUGCUUGCAAUCCCCGAUGGCGACCGGCGCACGGGUGAGUAACGCGUAUCCAACCUGCCCUUCACCACGGGAUAACCCGGCGAAAGUCGGACUAAUACCGUAUGUUGUCCAUUGAUGGCAUCCGAUUUGGACGAAAGGCUUGGCGGUGAGGGAUGGGGAUGCGUCCGAUUAGCCAGACGGCGGGGUAACGGCCCACCGUGGCUACGAUCGGUAGGGGUUCUGAGAGGAAGGUCCCCCACACUGGAACUGAGACACGGUCCAGACUCCUACGGGAGGCAGCAGUGAGGAAUAUUGGUCAAUGGGCAUAAGCCUGAACCAGCCAAGUAGCGUGCAGGAUGACGGCCCUAUGGGUUGUAAACUGCUUUUAUGCGGGGAUAAAGUGGCCCACGUGUGGGCUUUUGCAGGUACCGCAUGAAUAAGGACCGGCUAAUUCCGUG
RNAcentral lists this ribosomal RNA (490 nucleotides) under uncultured bacterium. RNAcentral's name for it is "partial 16S ribosomal RNA". It matches the Rfam family "Bacterial small subunit ribosomal RNA", at positions 28 to 507 of the family's 1533-position model. The record is from RNAcentral.